This 137-nucleotide small RNA is filed under the name Aliikangiella marina. RNAcentral's name for it is "RtT sRNA". It matches the Rfam family "RtT RNA". Rfam says of the family: This family represents a bacterial cis-regulatory element known as RtT RNA. The exact function of RtT is unknown although it is thought that it may be involved in changing the cellular response in relation to amino acid starvation. Lineage: Bacteria; Pseudomonadati; Pseudomonadota; Gammaproteobacteria; Oceanospirillales; Pleioneaceae. The record is from RNAcentral.
AAUGAGUCUGUGUCGAGAGGGAUAAGAACCCAAUAAAGAGGGUUCGACAAAACUGCUAGUCAGUUUUGAACGCCGGAGCAACGCGACGGCGGCCCGAAGGGUAAGGCGGUAGCCGAAUAAUCCCUCUCUCUCCGCCA